This 293-nucleotide ribosomal RNA is filed under the name uncultured Alphaproteobacteria bacterium. Its description in RNAcentral is "partial 16S ribosomal RNA". Lineage: Bacteria; Pseudomonadati; Pseudomonadota; Alphaproteobacteria. The record is from RNAcentral.
GGACAACUGGGGUUUCUAAUCCUGUUUGCUCCCCACGCUUUCGCACCUCAGCGUCAACAGUCGUCCAGUGAGCCGCCUUCGCCACUGGUGUUCUUCCCAAUAUCUACGGAUUUCACUCCUACACUAAGAAUUCCACUAUCCCCUACCGGUCUCGAAGCCUCCCAGUAUUAAAAGCAAUUCCAGAGUUAAGCUCUGGGAUUUCACUCCUAACUUAAGAAGCCGCCUACGCGCCCUUUACGCCCAGUAAUUCCGAACAACGCUAGCCCCCUCUGUAUUACCGCGGCUGCUGGCAC